Molecule: ribosomal RNA, 497 nt
Filed under: uncultured bacterium
Lineage: Bacteria
Description: partial 16S ribosomal RNA
Rfam family: Bacterial small subunit ribosomal RNA
Source: RNAcentral
GAUGAACGCUGGCGGCGUGCCUAAUACAUGCAAGUCGAGCGAACAGACGAGGAGCUUGCUCCUCUGACGUUAGCGGCGGACGGGUGAGUAACACGUGGAUAACCUACCUAUAAGACUGUGAUAACUUCGGGAAACCGGAGCUAAUACCGGAUAAUAUAUUGAACCGCAUGGUUCAAUAGUGAAAGACGGUUUUGCUGUCACUUAUAGAUGGAUCCGCGCCGCAUUAGCUAGUUGGUAAGGUAACGGCUUACCAAGGCAACGAUGCGUAGCCGACCUGAGAGGGUGAUCGGCCACACUGGAACUGAGACACGGUCCAGACUCCUACGGGAGGAAGCAGUAGGGAAUCUUCCGCAAUGGGCGAAAGCCUGACGGAGCAAAGCCGCGUGAGUGAUGAAGGUCUUCGGAUCGUAAAACUCUGUUAUUAGGGAAGAACAAAUGUGUAAGUAACUAUGCACGUCUUGACGGUACCUAAUCAGAAAGCCACGGCUAACUAAGUG